RNAcentral lists this transfer RNA (69 nucleotides) under Pseudohynobius shuichengensis. Its description in RNAcentral is "tRNA-Thr". It matches the Rfam family "tRNA". Rfam says of the family: Transfer RNA (tRNA) molecules are approximately 80 nucleotides in length. Their secondary structure includes four short double-helical elements and three loops (D, anti-codon, and T loops). The record is from RNAcentral. Lineage: Eukaryota; Metazoa; Chordata; Amphibia; Caudata; Hynobiidae.
AUUCAGGUAGCUUAACCAAAGCAUUGGUCUUGUAAGCCGAAGGCUGAGAUAUAACCAUCUCUCUGAAUA